CCCUUAGAUGUUCUGGGCUGCACACGCGCUACACUGGCAGGUUCAGCGAGCUUCUUGCCCUGAUCUGAGAAGAAUGGGAAACCUUUUCAACACCUGCCGUGCUUGGGAUAGAUGUUUGCAAUUAUUCAUCUUCAACAAGGAUUGCCUUGUAGGCGUGCCUCAUCAGGGCACAUCGAAUACGACCCUGUAUUCUGUACACACCGCCCGUCGCUCCUACCGAUUGAAUGAUCCGGUGAGGCCCCCGGAUUGUGGCAAUGGCUCUGGUUCGCCAGACCAAUGCUGCGAGAAGCUGUCCAAACCUUAUCAUUUAGAGGAAGGAGAAGUCGUAACA
This 331-nucleotide ribosomal RNA is filed under the name uncultured eukaryote. RNAcentral describes it as "partial 18S ribosomal RNA". It matches the Rfam family "Eukaryotic small subunit ribosomal RNA", at positions 1470 to 1796 of the family's 1831-position model. The record is from RNAcentral.